UUAAAUUGAAGAGUUUGAUCAUGGCUCAGAUUGAACGCUGGCGGCAGGCCUAACACAUGCAAGUCGAACGGUAACAGGAAGCAGCUUGCUGCUUUGCUGACGAGUGGCGGACGGGUGAGUAAUGUCUGGGAAACUGCCUGAUGGAGGGGGAUAACUACUGGAAACGGUAGCUAAUACCGCAUAAUGUCGCAAGACCAAAGAGGGGGACCUUCGGGCCUCUUGCCAUCGGAUGUGCCCAGAUGGGAUUAGCUAGUAGGUGGGGUAACGGCUCACCUAGGCGACGAUCCCUAGCUGGUCUGAGAGGAUGACCAGCCACACUGGAACUGAGACACGGUCCAGACUCCUACGGGAGGCAGCAGUGGGGAAUAUUGCACAAUGGGCGCAAGCCUGAUGCAGCCAUGCCGCGUGUAUGAAGAAGGCCUUCGGGUUGUAAAGUACUUUCAGCGGGGAGGAAGGCGAUAAGGUUAAUAACCUUGUCGAUUGACGUUACCCGCAGAAGAAGCACCGGCUAACUCCGUGCCAGCAGCCGCGGUAAUACGGAGGGUGCAAGCGUUAAUCGGAAUUACUGGGCGUAAAGCGCACGCAGGCGGUCUGUCAAGUCGGAUGUGAAAUCCCCGGGCUCAACCUGGGAACUGCAUUCGAAACUGGCAGGCUAGAGUCUUGUAGAGGGGGGUAGAAUUCCAGGUGUAGCGGUGAAAUGCGUAGAGAUCUGGAGGAAUACCGGUGGCGAAGGCGGCCCCCUGGACAAAGACUGACGCUCAGGUGCGAAAGCGUGGGGAGCAAACAGGAUUAGAUACCCUGGUAGUCCACGCCGUAAACGAUGUCGACUUGGAGGUUGUGCCCUUGAGGCGUGGCUUCCGGAGCUAACGCGUUAAGUCGACCGCCUGGGGAGUACGGCCGCAAGGUUAAAACUCAAAUGAAUUGACGGGGGCCCGCACAAGCGGUGGAGCAUGUGGUUUAAUUCGAUGCAACGCGAAGAACCUUACCUACUCUUGACAUCCAGAGAACUUAGCAGAGAUGCUUUGGUGCCUUCGGGAACUCUGAGACAGGUGCUGCAUGGCUGUCGUCAGCUCGUGUUGUGAAAUGUUGGGUUAAGUCCCGCAACGAGCGCAACCCUUAUCCUUUGUUGCCAGCGGUCCGGCCGGGAACUCAAAGGAGACUGCCAGUGAUAAACUGGAGGAAGGUGGGGAUGACGUCAAGUCAUCAUGGCCCUUACGAGUAGGGCUACACACGUGCUACAAUGGCGCAUACAAAGAGAAGCGACCUCGCGAGAGCAAGCGGACCUCAUAAAGUGCGUCGUAGUCCGGAUUGGAGUCUGCAACUCGACUCCAUGAAGUCGGAAUCGCUAGUAAUCGUGGAUCAGAAUGCCACGGUGAAUACGUUCCCGGGCCUUGUACACACCGCCCGUCACACCAUGGGAGUGGGUUGCAAAAGAAGUAGGUAGCUUAACCUUCGGGAGGGCGCUUACCACUUUGUGAUUCAUGACUGGGGUGAAGUCGUAACAAGGUAACCGUAGGGGAACCUGCGGUUGGAUCACCUCCUUACCUUAAAGAA
RNAcentral lists this ribosomal RNA (1554 nucleotides) under Enterobacter hormaechei. RNAcentral describes it as "bacterial SSU rRNA". It matches the Rfam family "Bacterial small subunit ribosomal RNA". Lineage: Bacteria; Pseudomonadati; Pseudomonadota; Gammaproteobacteria; Enterobacterales; Enterobacteriaceae. The record is from RNAcentral. RNAcentral also lists the same sequence under 1 other name.